UUUGAUAGGCCCCCAAUCACGCACAUGUAUUCUAGAAGAAUCAAGAGAAGGGGAGGGAGUGGGGGUAGUAACUAAUUCUGUUAGGAAUCUGUUUUGGCACACUUAUAAAUAAGAGGGGAGAAAGGAGGAGAGGUAUGACCUGAUUGAUGUAAGUGCCAUUUAGGAGAGAUCCGGCCCUCUCGAAAGGCUGCCUAUUAUCAUUUAGUUGCUGUAACUCGUUGUUUUCAUUACUAUAAAAGUUCUUCUAGCUUCCAUAUACCAUUGUUGCUGUGUCCCAUCACUAUUUUCCAUUUUUAUCCCAUCAAUAUUGGUAUCAGAGCACCCAAAAUCAGCCCAAAUAAGAACCAUGACACUUGCGGACAGAAUGGGAGAAUUGGAACAAAGGGUUGAGAGUAACCAUCAGGAGAUGCAGACCGGUCUCGAAAUCCUUCGAUCGGAGUUUAAGUCGAUACAUUCCAAGUUCAAUCUUCUGCUGCGCACUUGGGAAAAUCAGGAAAGGGAACGAAAGGAUAAGGGCCCAGCCAUGGAAAACUCCCCGGUGGCACAACAGGAAUCUGGGGUAACACAGUCCAGCUUAAAGGGGAGUCAGAACAACGUGGGGUCAGGCAAUGAUUGGAGGUCGGAACCACGAGUCCGACGGUUGGAGAUGCCCGUUUUUGAGGGAGAUGAUCCAGAUGGGUGGAUAUUUCGUGUGGAGAGGUAUCUUAGCCUCAACCGAAUAAGUGAAGAGGAUAAAGUGGAGGCAGUUGUUGUGUGUUUUGACGGUGAAGCCCUGGCGUGGUAUAAGUGGGAAGAGAAACGAAGGCCACCAACAAAUUGGGAGGAUCUAAAGGCUCAACUCCUUCGCCGAUUUCGGUCCACACAGGGAGGGUCCUUGUGCGCUCAAUUUCUCUCUAUCCGGCAAGAGGACACGGUCAGAAAUUACCGCCGGAGGUUUGGAAAAUUUGCCACGCCGUUGAAAGACAUCUCUGAAGAGAUGCUGGAGUCAAUUUUUCUUAAUGGGUUGGUGCCAGAAAUCAGAGCAGAAGUCUAUUUACUCAGACCGGUGGGCCUGGAGCAGAUGAUGGAGAUAGCCCAAAUGGUGGAGGACCGAAAUAUUGUUAGCCAAACUACCCAUACCAAUUUAAGCCCAAUUAAACCCAAAAGUAUCCCAUACAAUAGCCCAAAUCCCCCACAAACCCAGAUCGCCCAAGCCCGAACCACAAUUCCCUUACAUCUAACCACAAAUCAUCCCAACCCAUAUUCCAAAUCGUCCGCACCCUUCAGGAGGCUCACUGACGCAGAGCUUCAAAGAAAGAAAGAAAGAGGCCUAUGCUACCGUUGUGACGAAAAAUUUACUAUUGGCCAUAAAUUAAGAGUAAGGAGCUGCAAGUACUGGUGAUUCGGGAGUUGGAAGACUCGGAGCAGGCGGUGCCGGAAGAGUUGGUGGGAGGCGGAGUCGCGAUGGACGACCAGGUAGCGACCGAACCGGGGGGAGGUUCGAUGGGUCAACCGGUCGAACUCUCCAUUAAUUCGGUGGUUGGGCUCACGGCACCUGGAACGAUGAAGCUACAGGGAUGGAUUGGCCAGAAGAAGGUGGUGGUACUAGUGGAUAGUAGGGCUUCUCAUAAUUUCAUCUCAGCUGGACUGGUGUAGGAUGAAGGACUUCCAUUGUCGGGCACGAUCGGAUAUGGGGUAAUAAUGGGCACAGGUUUGACCGUGAAAGGGGAAGGCGUGUGCAGACAAAUAAGGUUGAAGCUGCCGGGCCUGGAAGUGGUGGAAGACUUCCUGCCCUUGGAUUUGGGGAGUUCCGAUGUCAUACUCGGAAUGCAGUGGCUACGGAAAUUAGGAAGGAUGCAAGUCGACUGGAAGAAUCUCACAAUGUCCUUCGCCAAGGAAGGGGUGACUGUUAAUUUACAAGGAGAUCCGAGCCUUAGUAAAAUUCCAGUGUCAUUGAAAUCCAUGUGGAAGGCUUUCAAGGAACAAGGCGAGGGGCUGUUACUGGAAUUAGGGAACAUCACGUUAUCCCACAAUCCACCUUUGCAAAGGCCACCGGAAAUUGUUGAAGAAGUGCUGGAAGAAUAUAACGCAGUCUUUGAGGAUAUCACACAGUUGCCUCCCAAACGAAGACAAGACCAUGCAGUAGUGUUAAAGUCUGGGGCUGAACCAGUAAGUGUCCGACCGUACCGAUAUCCCCACUUUCAAAAAAAUGAAAUUAAGCGACUAGUGCGAGAGAUGUUGGCAGCCGGUAUCAUUCAACACAGCACCAGCCCUUUCUCAAGCCCGGUACUCUUAGUAAAAAAGAAGGAUGGGAGUUGGCGUUUUUGUGUAGAUUACCGAGCUUUAAACAAAGUGACUGUGCCUGACAAAUUUCCAAUCCCUGUCAUCGAUGAAUUACUGGAUGAGUUACAUGGAGCUAAGAUAUUCUCAAAAAUCGACCUCCGAUCAGGUUACCACCAGAUUCGGGUUAAGGCGGAAGACGUGCCAAAGACUGCGUUUCGAACUCAUGAAGGACAUUAUGAAUUCCUGGUCAUGCCCUUCGGCUUGACUAACACACCGGCCACCUUUCAGUCCUUAAUGAAUGAUAUUUUCAGAGAUAUGCUCAGGAAGUGUGUUUUGGUGUUCUUUGACGACAUAUUGGUAUACAGUCAGACGGAAGAGGAGCACAAAGACCACUUGAGGGAUGUAUUGCAGAUCCUGGUAAACAACCGGCUUUUCGCCAACAAGAAAAAGUGUUCUUUUGGGCAAAGGAAAAUUGAGUACCUCGGGCAUAUUAUCUCAGAAUUGGGAGUCGCUGCUAACCAGUCCAAAAUUGCAGCAAUGAGUGACUGGCCCAGACCAAAAAAUCUGAAGGAGCUGAGGAUUUCUAGGAUUAACAGGUUAUUACAGGCGGUUUGUGGAGGGGUAUGGGAAAAUGGCCUGGCCUCUUACUCAACUAUUAAAAAAGGAUGGUUUCGGAUGGAAUGACAUGGCUGAAGUUGCAUUCAAUAAACUUAAAGAGGCCAUGACAACAACUCCGGUAUUAGCCCUUCCAGAUUUUUCACAGCCUUUUAUUAUUGAAACUGAUGCUUCUGGUAUUGGUUUAGGUGCCGUUUUAAUGCAGAAUCAAAGACCUGUAGCCUAUUUCAGCCAGGUCCUUCCACCCAGGACUCAAGGAAAAUCUAUUUAUGAAAGGGAGCUUAUGGCAAUAGCUUUGGCAGUACAAAAAUGGAGACACUACCUUCUGGGAAGGCGAUUUGUGGUAAGAACAGAUCAGAAGAGCUUCAAAUUUCUCCUCGAACAGCGAGUGAUCAAUGAGGAGUAUCAGAAAUGGUUGACAAAAUUGUUGGGAUUCGACUUUGACAUCGAAUAUAAACCUGGGCUGGAGAACAGGGCAGCUGAUGCAUUAUCCAGAAAAGGAGGGACGGUAACAUUUAUGGCUCUCAGCAUUCCGGGUGUCUUGCAAAUAGAUGAAGUCAUUAGAGCACAAAUGGAGGAUCAGCAUAUGAGAAUAAUGAGGAAUGCCAUUAAGGAUAACUCGUUGUCUUACCCAGGCUAUACAAUUGUGCAAGAAGUCCUAUUAUACAAGGACAGAAUCACCAUACCAAAGGACUCUCCUUUGGUCCGACUGGCUCUACAGGAAGGACAUGAUAGCAAAAUUGGAGGACAUGGAGGAUUUCUUAAAACCUACAAGAGAAUGGUUGGCACAUUUUACUGGGUUGGCAUGAAGAAGGACAUUCGGGAGUAUGUGGCUGCUUGUGAAAUUUGCCAACAGUGCAAAUACUCAACAUUAACGCCAGCCGGCAUAUUACAACCCCUACCCAUUCCGGAACGGGUUUGGGAAGACAUAUCUAUGGACUUCAUAGAAGGUAUGCCUAAGUCGGAGGGAUUUGAUUCCAUUCUGGUAGUGGUGGAUCGACUAAGUAAGUAUGCUCAUUUCAUUGGACUUAAACAUCCAUUCACCGCACCCUCAGUCGCUUCAAUCUUUAUCAAGGAAAUCGUUCGUUUACACGGGAUGCCACGCUCCAUAGUAUCUGACAGAGACAAAGUAUUUCUAAGCAAAUUCUGGAGCGAAAUGUUUCGUCUGCAGGGGACAAAAUUAAAGCACAGUUCGGCCUAUCACCCUCAAACCGAUGGCCAGACAGAAGUGGUGAAUCGGAGUGUCGAAACAUAUCUGCGCUGUUUUGCUACAUUCAGACCUAAGGAAUGGCAUCGUUUUCUGGCUUGGGCAGAACUCUCAUACAACACAUCUUUCCAUGUAUCCGCACAUUUGACACCCUUUCGCAUACUGUAUGGGAGAGAUCCCCCAACUCUGUUGCCAUUUGAGAAGGGCACCACCAUUGUUUCUUCCUUGGAUCAACAAUUGGUAGAACGUGACAGGGUCCUGGAGGAACUCAAGAUUCACUUGCUGAGAGCUCAACAGCAAAUGAAAAACAUGGCUGAUAAGCAUCGACGGUUGGUUGAAUUCUCUACGGGUGAUUUAGUCUAUUUGAAGAUGAGGCCGUAUCGGCGCAAAACACUAGCACACCGAAUCAAUGAGAAGCUAGCGCCUCGCUACUAUGGACCUUUUAAAAUUGUGGCUAAGGUCGGGACAGUUGCCUAUAAACUAGAGCUGCCGCCGGGGACCGCAAUUCAUCCAGUCUUUCAUGUUUCAUAGCUACGAAGAGCAGUUGGGGAACAUCAUCUGACCACUCAACUACCACUGAACCUUGGUGCAAACUGGGAACUAACAGUAGAGCCAGAAACAGUUUUGGGUGCCCGAGCUAUUCCAACCAGUGAUGCUGAGGAUAGGGAAGUACUGAUUAAAUGGAAAGGACUGCCUCCAAUGGAAGCCACCUGGGAACCUUACAGCCUAAUCAACCAACAAUUUCCCACCUUCCACCUUGAGGACAAGGUGGCUGAAUUGGGGAGGGUGAUUGAUAGGCCCCCAAUCACGCACAUGUAUUCUAGAAGAAUCAAGAGAAGGGGAGGGAGUGGGGGUAGUAACUAAUUCUGUUAGGAAUCUGUUUUGGCACACUUAUAAAUAAGAGGGGAGAAAGGAGGAGAGGUAUGACCUGAUUGAUGUAAGUGCCAUUUAGGAGAGAUCCGGCCCUCUCGAAAGGCUGCCUAUUAUCAUUUAGUUGCUGUAACUCGUUGUUUUCAUUACUAUAAAAGUUCUUCUAGCUUCCAUAUACCAUUGUUGCUGUGUCCCAUCACUAUUUUCCAUUUUUAUCCCAUCAAUCUACCAAUCAUAAGUUCCAUACUUAGUAGAGCCCAGUUAAUCAAUCAAGAAAGCCU
This 5235-nucleotide long non-coding RNA is filed under the name Olea europaea (common olive). RNAcentral describes it as "long non-coding RNA (OEUR_LNC001320)". The record is from RNAcentral. Lineage: Eukaryota; Viridiplantae; Streptophyta; Magnoliopsida; Lamiales; Oleaceae.